GCGGGGGUCGUGCGCGUCCACGUCGUGCGCGCGGGCCCCGCCCGCCAGAGUUCCUGCCCGCAGGGCGUUGCCCUGGGUACCCGGAGCGGUCGGGGGCGCGAGACGGCGAGAGCCGCUCAAAGGCCUCCUGGAAGUGUUUCUCCUGGGAAGUGAUCACCAGCGAGCCCCUCUGAAUGUUACUGGAAAAGGAACUUCAAACCCCGUGUUUUUCAGAGUGCUCCAGCUCGGGUUCAGGUUCCACGCUGCAGAAGCCCAAGCCAUGGCGUCCACUGUACCAGGCACCACAGGAACUCUUUGGUGACUCACCCUCUGGCAGUGGCAUCAGCGAAUUGCUUGUUCGCCCUUCAGUAAAUACCUACUGAGCACCCCAUUUGUUCUCGGCAUCACGCUGGGACCUGGGCUUUCUCACUGCGCUGCCACCUUCCUCCCAGGCGUGCUCCGCCCCGUGUGGGCUAUGAGAAACAGGACACAAGCGCGAGGAAGCCGGCAUAUAAACACAUCAGAUUCGAGUUUCCUUUGCGUUGUGAGACAGAGUCUAAAAUAAAGGGCCAUCUAAAGUUAAGGAGAGCUAGGUAUGGCGGUGCAGGCCUGUAAUCCCAGCACUUGGGAGGCCGAGGCAGGAGGAUCCUUGUGAGUUCGAGACCAGCCUGGGCUACAUAAUUAGUUCAAGGACAGAAACUAGAGGUGAG
Molecule: long non-coding RNA, 689 nt
Filed under: Chinchilla lanigera (long-tailed chinchilla)
Lineage: Eukaryota; Metazoa; Chordata; Mammalia; Rodentia; Chinchillidae
Description: lncRNA (ENSCLAG00000023199.1)
Source: RNAcentral